CUGUACAGUUCAGAUUUGAUCCUGGCUCAGGAUUAACGCUAGCGGCAGGCCUAAUACAUGCAAGUUGAACGGGAUUUCGGGUAGCAAUAUCUGAAUGAGAGUAGCGCACGGGUGCGUAACACGUAUGCAACCUACCUAUAACUGGGGGAUAGCCUCCCGAAAGGGAGAUUAAUACCGCAUAACAUUAUGAAGUGGCAUCACUUUAUAAUUAAACUUCAGAGGGUUAUAGAUGGGCAUGCGUCCGAUUAGCUAGUUGGUGAGGUAACGGCUCACCAAGGCUCCGAUCGGUAGGGGGUCUGAGAGGAUGAUCCCCCACACUGGUACUGAGACACGGACCAG
Molecule: ribosomal RNA, 339 nt
Filed under: uncultured bacterium
Lineage: Bacteria
Description: bacterial SSU rRNA
Rfam family: Bacterial small subunit ribosomal RNA
Source: RNAcentral